This 72-nucleotide transfer RNA is filed under the name Ovis aries (sheep). It matches the Rfam family "tRNA". Rfam says of the family: Transfer RNA (tRNA) molecules are approximately 80 nucleotides in length. Their secondary structure includes four short double-helical elements and three loops (D, anti-codon, and T loops). The record is from Rfam by way of RNAcentral. Lineage: Eukaryota; Metazoa; Chordata; Mammalia; Artiodactyla; Bovidae.
UCCCUGGUGGCUCAGUGGUAAAGUAUCUGCCUGCUAAUGCAGGAAACGCAGGUUCGAUUUCUGCGCUGGGAA